AGAAGGAAAAAGCUUGAAUCCCAUCAAAUUUCUUAGUGUACCCCAUCAAAAGUCUCCAGAAAAAUUGUUUCAAUAAUAGAAGUGGGGUGAUUAUCUUCUGGAAAAAAAUUUCCAAAUUUAUCUUAAUGUGUUUCGGAAAAUGAAUUCCAGAAUAAUAAGGUGUUGGAAUAUGGUGCAGCAAGUAACAUCUGGGAAUAGUGGAAACUCAGUGUGAGGAGAAAUGGUAUAAUGGUUUAAAUCUAAUUUACUGAAGGGUAUUUGAGGGAUUAAAAGUUUUAUUGGGUGCAAGGAGAAAAAAAAGGGAGGUACAGGAAAAAUGGCAGAAUUUCAAAUUUAGAAAUAACCAAAAAAAGAAAACAAAAGAGGAUCUAAGUCAAAGGCAUGCAUAAUCACUAAUUUGGUUUUGAAGAUCUCUAAGUGAAACAAAUGAAACAAACAG
RNAcentral lists this long non-coding RNA (439 nucleotides) under Vigna radiata. Its description in RNAcentral is "long non-coding RNA (VRAD_LNC000381)". The record is from RNAcentral. Lineage: Eukaryota; Viridiplantae; Streptophyta; Magnoliopsida; Fabales; Fabaceae.